This 669-nucleotide long non-coding RNA is filed under the name Brassica napus (rape). RNAcentral describes it as "long non-coding RNA (BNAP_LNC013686)". The record is from RNAcentral. Lineage: Eukaryota; Viridiplantae; Streptophyta; Magnoliopsida; Brassicales; Brassicaceae.
UUAUAUGUUUUUAUUUUAUUUUUAAACUUGUUGCUCUUACCAGACCUUUAAAACAAAUACAUGAAGACUUGUAGAAAUAACUAUAAAAUGAGUGACAGUUCUGAGUAUUUGGGCUUUAAUGAGUUUUAAACGAAUUUAUGCAAUUCUCAUAAGAAGACAAUAGUAUUGACAUGUUGACAUUUGGCAUGUAAGCUAUUUUUAUAAGACAAGAGUAGUGAGUAGGUGGAGAUGUUGUUGCUGCCUUUGUGUCUAUCGGGAGUGUCUCUUGUAUCUCUUGGUGUAACUGUGUUUGUUUAUCUUUUAUUUGAUGGGUAAUAUGUAAACAAAAAUCAUUGUUAGUAGUAUUUAUCAGAGUUCGUAAUUUACUCUGCUAUUUUGUUUAGGUAAGUUCACUGAUUUUGGUUGCCGUCUUCGUCUUCUUCGUUGCGAAAGUAAGUUUGUAAAUUGUUAAAUAGCUGGUUGUAUAGUUUGUAUUUUUUUAGCUGGCUUGAUGUAUGUGUCGUUGAGUUUUAGUUGAGGUGAUUUGUUUGGUAUAUUUGUUUUGAAGUUUAUUUCUAAGAUUAGACAAAAAAGAGAGGUAAUCAUUAAUGAUUCGUCUUUUUUGGAAUUCUAGUUUUUGGUGUUUUGAUUGUUUGGGUUCUUGUGGUUUAUUUUAAGCUGUAAAAUAAA